AUGGUUGUCGUCAGCUCGUGUCGUGAGAUGUUGGGUUAAGUCCCGCAACGAGCGCAACCCUCGACCUUAGUUGCCAGCAUUCAGUUGGGCACUCUAAGGUGACUGCCGGCUAAAAGUCGGAGAAGGUGGGGAUGACGUCAAAUCAUCAUGCCCCUUAUGACCUGGGCUACACACGUGCUACAAUGGGCGGUACAAAGGGUCGCGAACCCGCGAGGGGGAGCCAAUCCCAAAAAGCCGCUCUCAGUUCGGAUUGCAGGCUGCAACUCGCCUGCAUGAAGUCGGAAUCGCUAGUAAUCGCGGAUCAGCACGCCGCGGUGAAUACGUUCCCGGGCCUU
Molecule: ribosomal RNA, 335 nt
Filed under: uncultured Anoxybacillus sp.
Lineage: Bacteria; Bacillati; Bacillota; Bacilli; Caryophanales; Anoxybacillaceae
Description: bacterial SSU rRNA
Rfam family: Bacterial small subunit ribosomal RNA
Source: RNAcentral